Falco peregrinus (peregrine falcon) is the source of this 5879-nucleotide long non-coding RNA. RefSeq lists it as uncharacterized. The transcript is spliced from 7 exons. Lineage: Eukaryota; Metazoa; Chordata; Aves; Falconiformes; Falconidae. The record is from RefSeq and is a predicted model, not a curated record.
GCAGAGGAAAACUCCCCAGACUUGUGUGACAGGGCUCUGCGGACCCGCAGCCCCGGGAUGGUGCCGGUGCCCCUUGCCGUGCCCGGGCAGAGCGCAGCGGGUCCCUGCCACCCCGCACACCUCGCCCGGGGCCACACCAGCCGGACAGCCAGAGCCGCACGCCAGCUUUGUGGGAAGGGGGAUGCAAGACCGCUGCGCCCAGCAGAAUCGUACCUCCAGUUCAUGCACUUGGAGGCACCCAGGGAAGGAUUCAGAGUUGGUACUUCGAAGUCUCUUGCCUGAAGGACAGCUGCUCUUCACUUUCCAGGGUCCCAUUUCAACUGAAGAUGUGAAAAAUUAAAUCUUGGUGUACCUCUUUAUAAUCAGGGCUCCCUGCUGCUCCUGACACCAUCUUGCUCUCAGUUCUUCAUCAUUACUUCUAAUGGUUGGUAGGCAAAACCACCAGGUUUUUGCAGCAGACUCACAUACUGGGGUGAAGAUGUACAAUUUGGCAGCUUUUAGACAUAUAAGGUUUAGUGAGAUGAAUCCCUACCCUUCUUGUCCUUGCAUCUCAUUUAAACGACUCCGCUGUAAGAUCCAGAGUUUGCUUCUGCAUGUACUUAUGAGAAAACUGAAAGAAACGGGAGCAUAUGCACAAUUUAGGUUUAGAAGUCAGAAAAAUGGUUUUUCCUCACUAUUCAUCCAUCCUAAAAAAAGAUGUACCUCUGUGACCACGGGUUGUCUGCAUACCACCGGCCAAAGGCACAGGGCUAAGGCUGUUAAAACAAAUAACCUUCACUGAAACAAAAGAAGAAAAUCAUCCUUUCAGCAGGAGGAACAGCAAAUGAGGGUGUUUUGUUGGUGCACUGCAGCCUCCUGCUCCUCACCCUUGAAUCUCAGAAAGUGUUGCUGGAACGCCCAUGCUACAGGCACGUCCCAGAUAAGCUACACUUUCCUCCCUGUCCAUGGUCUUGGAAAACCUCUGCUUCUUUCACCAUACAGGUACUUUUCCUCUGUGACCUCCUAAUUAACCAUCACCUUAUGGGAGAUUGUAUGAUUCAUUAGGUGAAGAUGAAAAGAAGGAAAACAAUGAUCAUGAGUUGCUAGGGGGAAUGUGGACUUGGUUUUGGCAAAUCUGAUUUUUGUUUAUUUUUUCUUGGCUUGUGUUUCUGUAUCUGAUGGGGCUCUUAGUCACCUUCAGAGUGCGCUGUACUCAGAGCAGCCCUGCUGCAGGCACUCAGCUUUUUCAUAUUGAGUAAAAGGAAGCAUAGUUUUGGGGAUGAUUUCUGUACACUGCAGAAAGGGAGUGCUUUUCCAUGACCACAAGAUAAGCUCUUGCCUGCACUAUGGCCUUGACUGUGUUCCUAUGCUCUAUACAAUUUAUCAUUCUUGAUGCCAUACAUUAACACACACUGCUGUUUCACAUUUCUAGCUCUGUCCAUCUCUAAGCAGGGUCCUCACAACAGCUGACGUAACAGGCAACCAUGCUAUUUGGGGAGCCGGUGUGUUUGGCAGUUAGUCAUGCACUUGGUGGCGUUUCUGCUUUUUUCCGUUAUUCUUUUUCGCUUUUUUUAACAAGAAUCGUUUAAGGAUUACUUUAUGUAUAGAACCAUUGCCAAUAUUUUCUAUAACCAUCAAGUAAGAGCAAGUAUUUUCCACAUGCCUAGAACUAAAGCCAUUUCUUUAGGAACUAAAGAGUCACUGGAGUGAAAUUUAAGAACAUUAUCAAUGACUUGGAAGCUCAUUUAAAAAUUCAUUUUCAAGGCAGGAUUAAAGGGAACUCUCUGUGGAUGUAUUCACAUUUUCAUUAAGCAUGCUCCCUUGCUACACUGUUGGUUAACAGUUAUUACACUGUCAAGUUGUUAUUUUAAGAAUCCAUUCAGGGAUCUUGAGCUCCAGUACAAAACCAUAUGGUCUAUCAACACAUGCCUUUAUGCUCCUCCACAAACUACGCAAAGCACCUUGAAAUCUGUUAACUAAAUGUAGGUGCAAACCAUACCACCAAUCCCUAAGCAUUACUGAGUGUUGGUGGUGGUAUAGGAAGGCACUUGGGUGGCAUGGGUGAGAAAUUAAUUUCUAUAACAACUAUGGUGCCUUGAUUGUUUUGGUUUUUGUCUUCCUACUGAUAUACAAAGACUUGAACUUUUUUACAAGAACAAACUUGUGUAUGCUUAUGUUGUAACUGAGGGGAUAGGUCACCAGCUUAGGAUGUGGAGCACAGAGAUUCAAGUAUCUGCUCUACCUCAUUUAAGGCACAGCUCUUUGCCUUCGCCCUCCUCAUUCAGGAAUUGGAAGGUUGUGGGGGUUUUUCUGGGUACGCUGCACACAGCAACUCUGUAUGGCUGUUGAGCUAUGCAGCACUUGUGUGGUGGCGGUGUGUGCUUCUCUAUCUCCUGGCUGAUAACCAGCCUGCAUUUCUGACAAAGGCUCUCUUCAAACACAAAACAUUUUUUGUAAAAUGUUUUGUUUCCUACUGAACAUAUUUUGCCAAAGCUUGAUCUCAUCAAAGCUAGCCUGACGGAUCUUAUUUACCACUCUAAGGAGGUGCUGACCAUCUUACCUGCUCUGCUACAGGCUUUCUGAUUACACAGCAUAUGGAAUCCCUGGAAGAACUGUGCAAAUCUUUGGAAUCUCUAAUUUCAGACACAGGAAGUCCGUAUAAUAAAUGAGUCCAAAUUUGGCUAAUUUGGUGUGUGGAAAUUAUGGUUCAAUAUUUUACUGCAUAUCACUUUCACAUCAAUUUAGCUUUGAGCAGGAUAGUUAAUGCAAGUUUUAUUUAUGAGUGAAUACUGAUGUUUGAUUCUAUGUUUAGAGAAAAAGACUACAGUAAUACCUAUUUUCUGAUCUGAGUGGGAAUAACUUGCUCCAUCUUUUUUCUUAAAGUGGAUGGGUAACCUAGAAUUCAUUUUGUGCCAUCCAUACCCAUUAAGUCAGCCAACUAUUAAGAUUUUAGUAUGAGAAGAACUUUAAAUAGUCAUUCAUUUGGCCCCACGUCCUUUCAUCUGUGUCGAAGUACAUACUUCAAAUCCUAAUUCUUCAAAAGCUUAUGUGUGUGACUACUCCCACCAAGGUUAACAGGAGUUGAUUUGUACAAUGUUAGCAGAGCACAUAGAAUUCUUCGUAGACUAGUUGCUCUAAUUGGUGCUGCAUGGGGAACAUAAUUCUUCACUAAUCAGGGACCAAAGCAAAAACUAGUGUAAUGUAGACACUUAUAAUAAAAUACUGCUAGGGCCUUUGAAUGAAAGAAUACUAUACCUGUCUGUAUUUUCAUGACAUUUUCACAACAGAACUGCAUUUCCAGCCCAUUGGAAACACCUGUGAGUUGUACCUGACCAUCAUGGUUGCUUUUUGAAGAAACUGGGAAACUGGAGAAUUGACUAGCCCUGCAGUGAAGGCACAGGCAUAGGGGUGGAGUAGUAGUAAUAGCAGAAAACAGAGAAAAUAAAAAAUGGCUAGAAAUGCUGGGAAUGAUGUGGGCUUUUUUUCUGGACAUGCCUAAGCAUAAUAUUACAGCACAUUUCACAGCUAACCAGUGAUUGCAUGCACUAGUUGUAGUCUCUAGGCAGGGAUUACUCAUUUCAUACACCAUUUAGAAUCAAUUGUAGUGAUUCUGCAAAGUCAGUACAUACCCUGGAUGCAAGAUUAGGAGAAAGUGUUUUUGUUUCAAAGUCUUUUGAUGUUUCUGUUUUGAAGUAUUUCAAUUUUCCUUAGACAGCACCCCAACUGGCUGAUGAUAUGCAACAGAUUAGAUUCUCUUUUGGAAAAUAAAACUUUGUCAAAUGAAACUAAAUCUUUUCCAGUCUCAUGACAAUACAGACACGCCUAACCGCUUCAUCCUGGAAGGCUAAAUGAAGUUGAGGGUUUGCAAGCAUUGUUAAAUAGGACUUGUAGAGGAAGGCAAGCAUAUACAUUUGAAGUACGAAUAUUCAGAACGGUCAGAAAUACAACAGCCAUUUAUGUUUGCAGAGGGUUACAUAUAUGUGUGUGUAUCCUCACAGAGUUCUCCUAAUCUUCUGGGUAAUGAGAAAUACUGUAUGUUCCCUCCGUAGAAAGUAGUGACUAAAAGACUCUGCCACGCGUCCCUCUCAGGUGGGCAUCCUAGGCUGUCACAUAAGGCACUAGAACAGCAGAAAAGUUCUGGUUUCCUGGGCACCCUAAAUAAAGCUAAAACUUGUAGUCUGAAGAACAUUUACAAUAUUUUGGAGGAACCUAAGGCAGGCUUGUAGCAUGAGUUUGACAACUGCAGAGAAAUUAUACUGCACAUAGGUCAGUUUUGACUAGCUGCUUAUGACUUUUCAAAAUAUUUAUGAGCAGUCAAAUGUUAUUUUCAAUAAAAGUAUCAGUAUUAGGAUUCAGAAUCAUUGUUUAAGAUUUUAUAAUUGUAUGUUCAUAGUCAUGGUAUUUCAGUAGAGAAGUCCUUAAAGUGCUUCAUCAGUGUUAAAUUGAACUAAAGUCAUCCUAUGCUUUCCAUUGCCUCUCAAAACUUUUCAGUCUUAAGGUAAUUUCAUGUCACAUUAAACUGUUCGUUAAAAGGCCUAACAAUUUUGAAGGAUUUGAUUACAAUAAUUUUCCAUUUGUUUCUGGCAUGCUGUGGUCUCAUAAUUGGAAAUACUAACAUAUGGAUUGUCCCCAAACAUAGUUCAUGCUUCAUAGUUCACGAUUUCUUAAGUUUGUCAAUCAGAAUAUUUUGAUAACAUUCAUUACAUCAAUGCCAGUGGAAAACAACAGUAGAAAACUGAAAUUUAGAGAAAAUAUUACUCAAGUUGCACAGAAUCUUCUGUUUGAGCAUGGAUGUUUUUGUUUGUUUGCAUCUCUCAUGCAUUUAAACAGUCAAUGGAUUAAUUCUAUUGUUGCUUAAACCCACAUGAUUUCAUCCUUUCUUGCAAUAUUUAGUUCUAUGAAGCCAGACAUGAGUAUGUGGCCUUUAGCAUAUCUUCUUCUCUUAUGAGCAUGUGUAAGGAAGUUUGAAAGUGAUAUGUUAUUCUCCUCAUGUUAGAAAUGGCAAAACUAAGGCAAUGAGAAAAAAAUACGGGUUGUUCAGAGACACCCAUCAGGCCAAGGGCAGAACAAGAACUGGACAUCAGGCCUCCUGCGUUUGAUCACAUCAGUGCUGUAGCACUAGAGAAAACUCUGUACUUCUGUGUGUGUUCCUGGGCAGCACACAAGCAAAGGGAGACCAGGAAAACACAAGCAGAAUUUCAUUAGCAGACUGCCCUUCCCCUUGCAUAUCUUAGCAAAGUUUUUGUCAAAGUCGAGUCCCUGUGUUUCCAUUGGGUUGUGAAUUGCUGGGCCAUACAUGCCCAAUGGCAGAGCAUGUACUCUGUCAGGCACCAGGGUUAAGGGAGGGAGUUUGCCUACACAAUCCUCUAGCUACAAUUAAAACUACUCUAUCUUCAUCAAUACAGGUAUUAAUGACAUUGGCAUUCAGUACCUUAUUUCUUGAUCCCUUGCUGCCUCUUUCUCCUUACCUUUAGAUACGUGAUAGGAAAUGGUCUUCUGAGGCACUUUUGCAUUACAACCGUUCCUCUUGAACUAUAGGAGAUGAAUGAUGUCUAGGAAAACAGUCAUGGGUUUUAUGAUUACUACAGAUGUUUGCAAGACCUUCCUUUCAGACAGUGGAAGUUCGAGGUGAAGCAGAAGAUUAAACUUAAGCACGAACAGCUGCAGCUCAAUGUGUCUUCUAGUAGACACAAGGGUACUUUGGGGGGAAGGAUCCUUUUCCUCUGCCUCUGAAGUGAAGAUAUAUGUGGCUUGUUGAUGGAAGACUUUGAGAAGACUGCUAGGUGCACAGAGGAUGUUGAGCGAUUUGAGCAUAGCACAAUGACACUGGUGAUUUCAAGUGCUCAGAACUCAGCCCAGCCUUGCAUCUUGUGGCAAUCUGAGCACUAGGAGAAGGCAGG